Molecule: ribosomal RNA, 1417 nt
Filed under: metagenome
Description: bacterial SSU rRNA
Rfam family: Bacterial small subunit ribosomal RNA
Source: RNAcentral
UAAGAGAACAAUCGGUUGAUUCUAGUGGCGAACGGGUGAGUAAUACACGGACAACCUGCCUUUGAGAGGGAAAUAACCCCAUGAAAAUGGGGCUAAUGUCCCAUAUAAUUUCGAUAGCUCAUGCUAUUGGAAUGAAAGAUUUCGACUUCGGUCGACGUUACUCAAAGAGGGGUCCCUGGCCUACUAGUUAGUUGGUGUGGUAACGGCACACCAAGACUUUGAUGGGUAGCCGGUCUGAGAGGACGUACGGCCACACUGGGACUGAGACACGGCCCAGACUCCUACGGGAGGCAGCAGUAGGGAAUAUUCCACAAUGCCCGAAAGGGUGAUGGAGCGACGUCGCGUGGGCGAUGAAGGCCUUCGGGUCGUAAAGCCCUGUUGUAAAGGACAAAACGGACGGUACUUUACGAGGAAGCCUCGGCUAACUCUGUGCCAGCAGCCGCGGUAAGACAGAGGAGGCAAGCAUUAUCCGGAAUGACUGGGUGUAAAAUGUGCGUAGGCGGUUAAAUAAGUCAAAUGUGAAGUCCUGAGGCUUAACCUCAGAAUUGCGUUUGAUACUGUUUAACUUGAGUUCUAGGGAAGAAAGCGGAAUUCUCGGUGGAGCGGUGAAAUGCGUUGAUAUCGAGAGGAACACCAAUGGCGGAGGCAGCUUUCUAUUUGGAAACUGACGCUGAGUCACGAAAGCUAGGGGAGCAAACAGGAUUAGAUACCCUGGUAGUCCUAGCUGUAAACUAUGAAUACUGGGUGUAGGUUCUUAAUGAAUCUGUGCCGAAGCUAACGCGUUAAGUAUUCUACCUGGGGAGUAUAGUCGCAAGACCGAAACUCAAAGGAAUUGACGGGGGCUCGCACAAGCGGUGGAACACGUGGUUUAAUUCGACACUAAGCGAAAAACCUUAACCGGGGUUUGACAUGCUGAUAGUACGAUCCUGAAAGGGAAAGGAUUCCGACUUGGUCGGAAAGUCAGCACAGGUGCUGCAUGGCUGUCGUCAGUUCGUGUCGUGAGAUGUUGGGUUAAGUCCCGUAACGAACGCAACCCCUAUCCUUAGUUACCCCGAUGAAAAUCGGGGGUUCUCUAGGGAAACUGCCUCAGAUAAUGGGGAGGAAGGUGGGGAUGACGUCAAGUCCUCAUGGCCCUUAUAUCCCGGGCCACACACGUGUUACAAUGGGGUCGACAGAGAGUUGCAAUACCGCGAGGUGGAGCCAAUCUCUAAACGGCCCCCCAGUUCGGAUUGAAGGCUGAAAUUCGCCUUCAUGAAGUAGGAAUCGCUAGUAAUCGCGGAUCAGCAGGCCGCGGUGAAUACGUUCCCGAGCCUUGUACACACCGCCCGUCACAUCACGAAAGCUGGGGAUACUUGAACUCCGGUGUUAUGCCGGAGGAGAGUAAAAUCAGUGAUUGGGAUGAAGUCGUAACAAGGUA